RNAcentral lists this ribosomal RNA (614 nucleotides) under uncultured bacterium. RNAcentral's name for it is "bacterial SSU rRNA". It matches the Rfam family "Bacterial small subunit ribosomal RNA", at positions 338 to 956 of the family's 1533-position model. The record is from RNAcentral.
CCUACGGGAGGCAGCAGUAAGGAAUAUUGGUCAAUGGAGGCAACUCUGAACCAGCCAUGCCGCGUGCAGGAAGACGGCCCUAUGGGUUGUAAACUGCUUUUAUCUGGGAAUAAACCUAUUUACGUGUAAGUAGCUGAAUGUACCAGAAGAAUAAGGAUCGGCUAACUCCGUGCCAGCAGCCGCGGUAAUACGGAGGAUCCAAGCGUUAUCCGGAUUUAUUGGGUUUAAAGGGUGCGUAGGCGGCAGUUUAAGUCAGAGGUGAAAGACGGUAGCUCAACUAUCGCAGUGCCUUUGAUACUGAAUUGCUUGAAUGAACUAGAGGUAGGCGGAAUGAGACAAGUAGCGGUGAAAUGCAUAGAUAUGUCUCAGAACACCGAUUGCGAAGGCAGCUUACUAUGGUUUUAUUGACGCUGAGGCACGAAAGCGUGGGGAUCAAACAGGAUUAGAUACCCUGGUAGUCCACGCCCUAAACGAUGAAUACUCGCUGUUAGCGAUAUACAGUUAGCGGCUAAGCGAAAGCGUUAAGUAUUCCACCUGGGGAGUACGCUCGCAAGAGUGAAACGUCAAAGGAAUUGACGGCUGAGGACAGCGAGGACGACGACGAGGGGAGGAGG